UCGGAUUGCAGGCUGCAACCCGCCUGCAUGAAGUUGGAAUCGCUAGUAAUCGCGGAUCAGCAUGCCGCGGUGAAUACGUUCCCGGGCCUUGUACACACCGCCCGUCACACCAUGAGAGUCGGGAACACCCGAAGUCCGUAGCCUAACCGCAAGGGGGGCGCGGCCGAAGGUGGGUUCGAUAAUUGGGGUGAAGUCGUAACAAGGUAUC
This 208-nucleotide ribosomal RNA is filed under the name uncultured bacterium. Its description in RNAcentral is "partial 16S ribosomal RNA". It matches the Rfam family "Bacterial small subunit ribosomal RNA", at positions 1293 to 1500 of the family's 1533-position model. The record is from RNAcentral.